GACGGAGGGUGCAAGCGUUGUUCGGAAUUACUGGGCGUAAAGGGCGCGUAGGCGGUCUGUUAAGUUCGGUGUGAAAGCCCCCGGCUCACCUGGGGAACUGCGCCGGAAACCGACAGACUCGAGUACCGGAGAGGAGGGUGGAAUUCCUGGUGUAGCGGUGAAAUGCGUAGAUAUCAGGAGGAACACCGGUGGCGAAGGCGGCCCUCUGGACGGAUACUGACGCUGAGGCGCGAAAGCGUGGGGAUCAAACAGGAUUAGAUACCCUGGUAGUCCACGCUGUAAACGAUGGGAGCUAGGUGUGGGAGGUAUUGACCCUUCCGUGCCGCCGCUAACGCAUUAAGCUCCCCGCCUGGGGAUUACGGCCGCAAGGUUAAA
This 375-nucleotide ribosomal RNA is filed under the name uncultured bacterium. Its description in RNAcentral is "bacterial SSU rRNA". It matches the Rfam family "Bacterial small subunit ribosomal RNA", at positions 524 to 898 of the family's 1533-position model. The record is from RNAcentral.